This 506-nucleotide ribosomal RNA is filed under the name uncultured bacterium. RNAcentral's name for it is "bacterial SSU rRNA". It matches the Rfam family "Bacterial small subunit ribosomal RNA", at positions 791 to 1304 of the family's 1533-position model. The record is from RNAcentral.
UAGUCCACGCCGUAAACGAUGGACACUAGUUGUUGGACUUUUAGUUCAGUGACUAAGCGAAAGUAAUAAGUGUCCCACCUGGGGAGUACGGUCGCAAGAUUGAAACUCAAAGGAAUUGACGGGGGCCCGCACAAGCGGUGGAGCAUGUGGUUUAAUUCGAUGAUACGCGAGGAACCUUACCAGGGCUUAAAUGUAGAGUGACAGACUGAGAGAUCGGUUUUUCUUCGGACACUUUACAAGGUGCUGCAUGGUUGUCGUCAGCUCGUGCCGUGAGGUGUCAGGUUAAGUCCUAUAACGAGCGCAACCCUUAUCGUUAGUUGCCAGCAAGUAAAGUUGGGGACUCUAGCGAGACUGCCGGUGCAAACCGUGAGGAAGGUGGGGAUGACGUCAAAUCAUCACGGCCCUUACGUCCUGGGCUACACACGUGCUACAAUGGUAUGGACAAUGAGCAGCCACUAUGCGAAUAGGAGCGAAUCUAUAAACCAUAUCACAGUUCGGAUCGGAGU